UUGGGGAAAUGGCCACAGCUGGGCCAUGCCCCAAUCAGGCUGCAGCUGGGCCUAUAAAGGGGUUGCUAGGCUGAAGCUUAGCCAGAGUUCCUCUCUGUGUUCAGAGGGGGAAGGGCCUGGCUGCAGGGACCUGAGGGAGUACCGAGAGUGGAGCAGGGCUGAGGGGGAAAGGCCAGGGGAACUCCGGCCUGGAAACCCCUAGGCUACAAGGCCUAGAUUAAGGCCAAUUAGAUAUGUUGAAAUAUCAUGACAGAAUCCAUUCUUGUGUUAUUUCCAGCAGAGACCAGAGGUCAGAGCAGGUCCAGAUGGGAACGGUAUCUGCAGUUUUCCUCUUUGGGAG
Chelonia mydas (Green sea turtle) is the source of this 340-nucleotide long non-coding RNA. RefSeq lists it as uncharacterized. NCBI's taxonomy places the organism in Eukaryota, Metazoa, Chordata, Testudines, Cheloniidae. The record is from RefSeq and is a predicted model, not a curated record. The transcript is spliced from 3 exons.